RNAcentral lists this ribosomal RNA (519 nucleotides) under uncultured bacterium. Its description in RNAcentral is "bacterial SSU rRNA". It matches the Rfam family "Bacterial small subunit ribosomal RNA", at positions 9 to 526 of the family's 1533-position model. The record is from RNAcentral.
GAGUUUGAUCCUGGCUCAGGACGAACGCUGGCGGCGUGCCUAACACAUGCAAGUCGAACGGAACUGUUUUGAAAGAUUUCUUCGGAAUGAAUUUGAUUUAGUUUAGUGGCGGACGGGUGAGUAACGCGUGAGUAACCUGCCUUCAAGAGGGGGAUAACAUUCUGAAAAGGAUGCUAAUACCGCAUGACAUAUCGGAACCACAUGGUUCUGAUAUCAAAGAUUUUAUCGCUUGAAGAUGGACUCGCGUCCGAUUAGUUAGUUGGUGAGGUAACGGCUCACCAAGACCGCGAUCGGUAGCCGGACUGAGAGGUUGAACGGCCACAUUGGGACUGAGACACGGCCCAGACUCCUACGGGAGGCAGCAGUGGGGGAUAUUGCACAAUGGGGGAAACCCUGAUGCAGCGACGCCGCGUGGAGGAAGAAGGUUUUCGGAUUGUAAACUCCUGUCGUUAGGGACGAUAAUGACGGUACCUAACAAGAAAGCACCGGCUAACUACGUGCCAGCCGCCGCGGUAAUAC